This 440-nucleotide ribosomal RNA is filed under the name uncultured bacterium. RNAcentral describes it as "partial 16S ribosomal RNA". It matches the Rfam family "Bacterial small subunit ribosomal RNA", at positions 338 to 795 of the family's 1533-position model. The record is from RNAcentral.
CCUACGGGGUGCAGCAGUGGGGAAUAUUGCACAAUGGGGGGAACCCUGACGCAGCGACGCCGCGUGAGUGAAGAAGUAUUUCGGUACGUAAAGCUCUAUCAGCAGGGAAGAAAAUGACGGUACCUGACUAAGAAGCACCGGCUAACCCCGUGCCAGCAGCCGCGGUAAUACGUAGGGGGCAAGCUUUCUCCGGAUUUACUGGGUGUAAAGGGAGCGCAGACGGCUGUGCAAGUCUGGAGUGAAAGGCGGGGGCGCAACCCCCGGACUGCUCUUGAAACUGUAAAGCUGGAGUGCAGGAGAGGUAAGCGGAAUUCCUAGUGUAGCGGUGAAAUGCGUAGAUAUUAGGAGGAACACCAGUGGCGAAGGCGGCUUACUGGACUGCAACUGACGUUGAGGCUCGAAAGCGUGGGGAGCAAACAGGAUUAGAUACCCUAGUAGUC